UUAAUUAGUUAUAAAUUCUUAAAGUUGAAGCUAUUGAAAUGUAUAACCAAUUGAUUAUGAUUCAGUCAAAAUUGAUCUUUUGUUAUUUCGAAUAUAUUCGCUCAAACUAUAUAUAUAUAUAUAUAUAUAUAUAUAUAGAGAGAGAGAGAGAGAGAGUCCGGCUACUAUACUCUUAUGAGUACGAUCGCAUUCGUACUCAUAAGUUGUUGUCGAUGAUAGAGCUUCCGAAUCGACGAUUUAGACCGUUAAAUAUUAUCUAGAGUAUUUAAAACUUCUAGAAAUCAAAUUUUAUAAUUUUUCGAUAUCAUUUACCAUAUGAUCAAUAGCUCACAAAAUUGACAAUUUUUAACGGCCGAUAUGUGAUACUUACUAAUUUAACGGUGUAAAAGAAUCAGAAUAGCUUGAAUUUUUGAUAGAAAAUUAUGUUCAUUAUCUAGAUAAAGAUCAAUAACCCUGAUCUUAAAUUGAAGGAUCCGAUCAUCCAUUUUUAGGACGUCGUUCAAUUUUGACCGUUCAUUUUAUAUCCGCUUAAUGGACUUUAUAAUGAUUUUGAAAAAUUACGAAAUUUAUUUUCUAAAAAUUUCAAAUACUCUAAAUCAUAUUUAACGGUGUGGAUCAUCGAUUCGGAAACCCCAACAUCAAAAUCAAUUUAUGAGUAUGAAGGACUCUAUACUCAUAAGAGUAUAGUAGCCAUACUCUCUCUCUCUCUCUCUCUCUCUAUAUAUAUAUAUAUAUAUAUAAACUUU
This 746-nucleotide long non-coding RNA is filed under the name Ananas comosus (pineapple). RNAcentral's name for it is "long non-coding RNA (ACOM_LNC017466)". Lineage: Eukaryota; Viridiplantae; Streptophyta; Magnoliopsida; Poales; Bromeliaceae. The record is from RNAcentral.